Molecule: ribosomal RNA, 439 nt
Filed under: uncultured bacterium
Lineage: Bacteria
Description: partial 16S ribosomal RNA
Rfam family: Bacterial small subunit ribosomal RNA
Source: RNAcentral
CUACGGGUCGCUCCAGUGGGGAAUAUUGCACAAUGGAGGAAACUCUGAUGCAGCAACGCCGCGUGGAGGAUGACACUUUUCGGAGCGUAAACUCCUUUUAUAUAGGAAGAAGAUGACGGUACUAUAUGAAUAAGCGCCGGCUAACUCCGUGCCAGCAGCCGCGGUAAUACGGAGGGCGCAAGCGUUACUCGGAAUCACUGGGCGUAAAGCGCGUGUAGGCGGAUUAAAAAGUCAGAAGUGAAAUCCUAUAGCUUAACUAUAGAACUGCUUCUGAAACUCUUAAUCUAGAAUAUGGGAGAGGUAGAUGGAAUUUCUGGUGUAGGGGUAACAUCCGUAGAGAUCAGAAGGAAUACCGAUUGCGAAGGCGAUCUACUAGAACAUUAUUGACGCUGAGACGCGAAAGCGUGGGGAGCAAACAGGAUUAGAUACCCCAGUAGUC